This 567-nucleotide unclassified non-coding RNA is filed under the name Aspergillus jensenii. RNAcentral describes it as "sequence contains 18S rRNA gene, ITS1, 5.8S rRNA gene, ITS2, 28S rRNA gene". The stretch from base 200 to 353 matches the Rfam family "5.8S ribosomal RNA". Lineage: Eukaryota; Fungi; Ascomycota; Eurotiomycetes; Eurotiales; Aspergillaceae. The record is from RNAcentral.
UCGUAACAAGGUUUCCGUAGGUGAACCUGCGGAAGGAUCAUUACCGAGUGCGGGCUGCCUCCGGGCGCCCAACCUCCCACCCGUGACUACCUAACACUGUUGCUUCGGCGGGGAGCCCUCUCGGGGGCGAGCCGCCGGGGACUACUGAACUUCAUGCCUGAGAGUGAUGCAGUCUGAGUCUGAAUAUAAAAUCAGUCAAAACUUUCAACAAUGGAUCUCUUGGUUCCGGCAUCGAUGAAGAACGCAGCGAACUGCGAUAAGUAAUGUGAAUUGCAGAAUUCAGUGAAUCAUCGAGUCUUUGAACGCACAUUGCGCCCCCUGGCAUUCCGGGGGGCAUGCCUGUCCGAGCGUCAUUGCUGCCCAUCAAGCCCGGCUUGUGUGUUGGGUCGUCGUCCCCCCCGGGGGACGGGCCCGAAAGGCAGCGGCGGCACCGUGUCCGGUCCUCGAGCGUAUGGGGCUUUGUCACCCGCUCGAUUAGGGCCGGCCGGGCGCCAGCCGACGUCUCCAACCAUUUUCUUCAGGUUGACCUCGGAUCAGGUAGGGAUACCCGCUGAACCUAAGCAUAUC